GACGAACGCUGGCGGCGUGCCUAAUACAUGCAAGUUGAGCGCUGAAGGUUGGUACUUGUACCAACUGGAUGAGCAGCGAACGGGUGAGUAACGCGUGGGGAAUCUGCCUUUGAGCGGGGGACAACAUUUGGAAACGAAUGCUAAUACCGCAUAAAAACUUUAAACACAAGUUUUAAGUUUGAAAGAUGCAAUUGCAUCACUCAAAGAUGAUCCCGCGUUGUAUUAGCUAGUUGGUGAGGUAAAGGCUCACCAAGGCGAUGAUACAUAGCCGACCUGAGAGGGUGAUCGGCCACAUUGGGACUGAGACACGGCCCAAACUCCUACGGGAGGCAGCAGUAGGGAAUCUUCGGCAAUGGACGAAAGUCUGACCGAGCAACGCCGCGUGAGUGAAGAAGGUUGUCGGAUCGUAAAACUCUGUUGGUAGAGAAGAACGAUGGUGAGAGUGGAAAGCUCAUCAAGUGACGGUAACUACCCAGAAAGGGACGGCUAACUACGUG
RNAcentral lists this ribosomal RNA (497 nucleotides) under uncultured bacterium. Its description in RNAcentral is "partial 16S ribosomal RNA". It matches the Rfam family "Bacterial small subunit ribosomal RNA", at positions 28 to 507 of the family's 1533-position model. The record is from RNAcentral.